RNAcentral lists this ribosomal RNA (460 nucleotides) under uncultured bacterium. RNAcentral describes it as "partial 16S ribosomal RNA". It matches the Rfam family "Bacterial small subunit ribosomal RNA", at positions 338 to 795 of the family's 1533-position model. The record is from RNAcentral.
CCUACGGGAGGCAGCAGUGAGGAAUAUUGGUCAAUGGACGAGAGUCUGAACCAGCCAAGUAGCGUGAAGGAUGACUGCCCUAUGGGUUGUAAACUUCUUUUAUAAAGGAAUAAAACGAGGCACGUGUGCCUUUUUGCAUGUACUUUAUGAAUAAGGAUCGGCUAACUCCGUGCCAGCAGCCGCGGUAAUACGGAGGAUCCGAGCGUUAUCCGGAGUUAUUUGGUUUAAAGGGAGCGUAGAUGGGUUUUUAAGUCAGUUGUGAAAGUUUGCGGCUCAACCGUAAAAUUGCAAUUGAUACUGGCAGUCUUGAGUACAGUUGAGGUAGGCGGAAUUCGUGGUGUAGCGGUGAAAUGCUUAGAUAUCACGAAGAACCCCGAUUGCGAAGGCAGCUUACUAAACUGUGACUGACAUUGAUGCUCGAAAGUGUGGGUAUCAAACAGGAUUAGAGACCCGAGUAGUC